GGAGGGUGCGAGCGUUGUCCGGAAUCACUGGGCGUAAAGGGCGCGUAGGCGGCCUGAUAAGUAGGGGGUGAAAUCCUGCGGCUUAACCGCAGGGCUGCCUUCUAAACUGUCAGGCUAGAGCACGGUAGAGGCAGAUGGAAUUCCCGGUGUAGCGGUGGAAUGCGUAGAGAUCGGGAAGAACAUCAGUGGCGAAGGCGGUCUGCUGGGCCGUUGCUGACGCUGAGGCGCGACAGCGUGGGGAGCAAACAGGAUUAGAUACCCUGGUAGUCCACGCCGUAAACGAUGGGCACUAGGCGUCGGGGGGAGCGACCCUCCCGGUGCCGUCGCUAACGCAGUAAGUGCCCCGCCUGGGGAGUACGGCCGCAAGGCUG
This 371-nucleotide ribosomal RNA is filed under the name uncultured bacterium. RNAcentral describes it as "bacterial SSU rRNA". It matches the Rfam family "Bacterial small subunit ribosomal RNA", at positions 527 to 896 of the family's 1533-position model. The record is from RNAcentral.